GCUGGCGGCGUGCCUGACACAUGCAAGUCGAACGAACUGAGGGGCCGUUGAUCGGGUUUCGGAAGGGUUCGUCCCGGAAGAGCCUGUGAGGUUCCUUGGUUAGUGGCGAACGGGUGAGUAACACGUAGGUGACCUGCCCCGAAGAGGGGGAUAACCACUGGAAACGGUGGCUAAUACCCCGUGUGAUCCUGCAUUCGGUUGCGGGAUUAAAGGCUCCGGCGCUUCGGGAGGGGCCUGCGGCCUAUCAGCUAGUUGGUAGGGUAAUGGCCUACCAAGGCUAUGACGGGUAGCUGGUCUGAGAGGACGCACAGCCACACUGGCACUGAGACACGGGCCAGACUCCUACGGGAGGCAGCAGUGAGGGAUAUUGCGCAAUGGGGGAAACCCUGACGCAGCAACGCCGCGUGGGCGAAGAAGGUCUUCGGAUCGUAAAGCCCUUUUCUCUCGGACGAGGAAGGACGGUACGGGAGGAAUAAGCGUCGGCUAACUACGUGCCAGCAGCCGCGGUAAAACGUAGGACGCAAGCGUUAUCCGGAUUUAUUGGGCGUAAAGGGCGUGUAGGCGGCGUCUUAAGUUNGGGCGUGAAAUCUUCCGGCUCAACCGGAAGGGUGCGUUCAAUACUNGGGACGCUUGAGGGCAGCAGAGGGAGGUGGAAUUCCCGGAGUAGCGGUGGAAUGCGUAGAUAUCGGGAGGAACACCAGUNGGCGAAGGCGGCCUCCUGGGCUGUACCUGACGCUGAAGCGCGAAAGCGUGGGGAGCAAACGGGAUUAGAUACCCCGGUAGUCCACGCCGUAAACGAUGGAUACUAGGUGUCGGUGGUAUUGACCCCAUCGGUGCCGCAGCUAACGCAUUAAGUAUCCCGCCUG
RNAcentral lists this ribosomal RNA (866 nucleotides) under uncultured Chloroflexota bacterium. RNAcentral describes it as "bacterial SSU rRNA". It matches the Rfam family "Bacterial small subunit ribosomal RNA", at positions 35 to 875 of the family's 1533-position model. The record is from RNAcentral. Lineage: Bacteria; Bacillati; Chloroflexota.